This is a non-coding RNA of Cinara cedri, 385 nucleotides long. The record is from the annotation of a GenBank genome assembly. NCBI's taxonomy places the organism in Eukaryota, Metazoa, Arthropoda, Insecta, Hemiptera, Aphididae.
AAUACUUAUCAUUUGAAUUGAACAGCGCAGAAUAUUGAAAGACGUCUGAAAUCGUUUUCCACCUACCAGUGCAACUGGUACCUUGCCAGUUUCGCGAGUGUUUGCGUUACUGCAGUCACAUCAGUACUUUCUAGGUACUUAGCUGGAACACAAAAAAUCGUAAUCUACCGAAAACUAUUAUUGUUUUUUAUUAGUGUUAUGGUCAUAUGGAUAAUGACUGCUAAAAGCCUAAAAUAAUUGUACACUUUACAUUACUUUAAUUGUCAUAAACUGGUUAUUUGUGUACUUGAUAAUGACGACAACAACUAUAAAACUAUUUGUAGUUUAUGAACUUUGUCCAUAUUCCUCAACAGUGGCGUACAUAGGGAAUGCUAUAUAUUUCAUA